UCCGAGUUGUCCCCGGCAGUCCUCUUAGAGUCCCCGGCAUUACCCGCUGGCAACUAAGAGCAGGGGUUGCGCUCGUUGCGGCACUUAAGCCAACACCUCACGGCACGAGCUGACGACAGCCAUGCAGCACCUGUGCUAGCCCCUUACGGACACGGGCUUUCACCCGCUUUCCGGUAUAUGUCAAACCCAGGUAAGGUUCUUCGCGUUGCAUCGAAUUAAACAACAUGCUCCGCUGCUUGUGCGGGUCCCCGUCAAUUUCUUUGAGUUUUAACCUUGCGGCCGUACUCCCCAGGCGGAGAACUUAACGCGUUAGCUGCGCCACCGAGACGCCAAGCGCCCCGACAGCUAGUUCUCAUCGUUUACGGCGUGGACUAC
RNAcentral lists this unclassified non-coding RNA (375 nucleotides) under uncultured bacterium. Its description in RNAcentral is "contains 16S-23S intergenic spacer region". The record is from RNAcentral.